RNAcentral lists this transfer RNA (80 nucleotides) under Agaricus bisporus var. burnettii. It matches the Rfam family "tRNA". Rfam says of the family: Transfer RNA (tRNA) molecules are approximately 80 nucleotides in length. Their secondary structure includes four short double-helical elements and three loops (D, anti-codon, and T loops). RNAcentral also lists the same sequence under 2 other names. The record is from Rfam by way of RNAcentral. Lineage: Eukaryota; Fungi; Basidiomycota; Agaricomycetes; Agaricales; Agaricaceae.
GUCCGUAUCGAUUAGGGGUUAAAUCACUUCGUUGUGGCUUGUGCUCCGAAGAGCCGCUGGUUCGAUUCCAGCUACGGACA